CUGAACUGAAGUAAGUCUUCCACAAUCCCAAAGGACUACCUGAGAAGGAGAUGAUGACAUUCAGUGACCAAGAAGCAAUUUGCAUUCAUGUGAUUUAUGGGUUUCCUGUCAAAAUUGCCCUUUGUACUCCUAUGAUUGGGUCUCAAUGAAGAUGGCAGCAUUGCUGUGUGUGCAGUCCUCUGAGUUGCAGAGUCCUGUACUGACUCAGUCUCCCUCUCAUUUUUCUCCACCAUCUCCAUUUCAACAGCAAUCCUAUGCACUUUGGUGAAAGUGAGCUCGGAAGCACCUAAAACCUCCACUUUAAUGUGCUGGUCACAACGUUUUAUUCUUUGGAAUUUUCAGCUGUAACCCUUACAAUGUAAUUGGCUUUGAAUAAUCAAGGUAAUCAUUCAAGAGGGAUUCAGAAAAUGUUGCAAGAUAUGCAUGAAGACAAUUCCUCAGAUGACAUCCCUUUUGUUGGUGCACUUUUCAAAGAUAGACAAUUGCACUUCAGUCGGUCCACGUGUGCAGUUGAGUUUUCAUCCGAGUGAUUCAUCCCUCACAACUGAACUCAAGCAGACAUCAUUGACACAAACAGCAGUGGUGUCACCACGUUUGGAUGCUGGGGAAGUAAAUUAACAAAAUUUCCUUUAAUUAAGAAAGCAAUCAUGCCUGAAGUUCCAGUGCACUGCUGCUUUGUCACCUUAUAUUGUGGAUGGGAAGGGAGACCUGAAAGAAACACAUUUACUGAAAAAGAGAGGCAUUUUUAAAGUAUAAUGCCUGCAGGAAGGUGGAUCAACAAAACCUCCUCUAUAGUGAAAGAAAAAGGAUUCUGAAGUAACCACACUACAAGAUGUGAUACUGAUAUUAUCCAGGACAUUGGAUCUAUACAACACAACAAAAUCCUUAUCUCAAGCAGCAGAACCAGAAUUCGAAUUUGUCACUGGGCACUCACCGCAUGUUUCCCCGGGCCAAUCUGCUUAAACGUGGUUGACAUGGAAAUUGGAGGCACGACUGCCAUUGACUUCCACUGUUCGGGAUCCUGCCCCAC
Long non-coding RNA from Pristis pectinata (smalltooth sawfish), 1030 nucleotides. RefSeq lists it as uncharacterized. The transcript is spliced from 7 exons. NCBI's taxonomy places the organism in Eukaryota, Metazoa, Chordata, Chondrichthyes, Rhinopristiformes, Pristidae. The record is from RefSeq and is a predicted model, not a curated record.